RNAcentral lists this non-coding RNA (23 nucleotides) under Cricetulus griseus (Chinese hamster). The record is from RNAcentral. Lineage: Eukaryota; Metazoa; Chordata; Mammalia; Rodentia; Cricetidae.
CAGAGCGUCUGACACACGUACAC